Molecule: ribosomal RNA, 506 nt
Filed under: Harmonia quadripunctata (cream-streaked ladybird beetle)
Lineage: Eukaryota; Metazoa; Arthropoda; Insecta; Coleoptera; Coccinellidae
Description: partial large subunit ribosomal RNA
Rfam family: Archaeal large subunit ribosomal RNA
Source: RNAcentral
UUUUAGAAUUUAAUUUAAAGUAGGGCCUGCCCACUGAAUUUUUGAAGGGCCGCAGUAUUUUGACUGUGCAAAGGUAGCAUAAUCAUUAGUUUUUUAAUUGAAAGCUUGUAUGAAUGGUUUGAUGAGAAGAUAGCUUUCUAUAAAUAAUUGUAUAAAAAUUUUAUUUUUAAGUUAAAAAGCUUAAAUUUUGAUAAAAGACGAGAAGACCCUAUAGAGUUUAAUUUACAACAUAAAUUUAGUUUUUAGAAUUUUAAUAAUUUAGUUUUUGGAGUAAAUUUCAUUGGGGUGAUGGAAAAAUAAGAUUAACUUUUUUUAUUAAAUUACAUUAAUUUAUGAAUAUUUGAUCCAUAAAAAUGAUUAAAAGAAUAAAUUACCUUAGGGAUAACAGCGUAAUUUUUUUUAGAGUUCUUAUCGAAAAAAGAGAUUGCGACCUCGAUGUUGGAUUAAAGUUAAAAUUAGGUGUAGAAGCUUAGUUAUUUGGUCUGUUCGACCAUUUAAACUUUACA